AAGUUACAGUAUUCCUGGCGAACUACUCGGACACGAGCAUGUAACAACGAUCACAAGCGACUGGAUCUCCCGGGCUACAAGUUCUCUUGCCGCGGGAAGAAAGCUUCACCCGAGGCUGAAACCGCCGAUUGCCAUUGAGACGCUGCGGAGGAAGUGCUGGCUGGCCGAUUAGGCGAUGGGGAGCCUCUAGCGUUUCUCGUCCCGUUCCCGUAUUGCUGCUGUUGCUGAAAUGCAAAAUCUCCAGAGAUCCGCGGACCGCGAUUAAAAAGAGCUGCUAAUCCACCAGUGUAAGGUGGAAGAGGAGGCAAAUGGUUAAGGACGACGCGAGCGAGAGAAGAUGCUCGGAAGCAGCGCAAUUACUACGAUUCUCUGGAUCAAGAUCGAGGAACGUGCCACCUUGCGGAUGUGGAUGGCUCACUGGCGUCUGAUACUGCGAGU
Long non-coding RNA from Frieseomelitta varia, 438 nucleotides. RefSeq lists it as uncharacterized. The transcript has 4 exons. The record is from RefSeq and is a predicted model, not a curated record. NCBI's taxonomy places the organism in Eukaryota, Metazoa, Arthropoda, Insecta, Hymenoptera, Apidae.